Long non-coding RNA from Gallus gallus (chicken), 669 nucleotides. NCBI's taxonomy places the organism in Eukaryota, Metazoa, Chordata, Aves, Galliformes, Phasianidae. The record is from Ensembl.
GUUUGCUCCCAGCAAACAGAGAGCAUGUUCUGAAAAAUACUAUGAAAAUGAUGGAAGUGCUGAAGUGGAGACGUUCUCUAAUUCUUGGUAGCUGGAAUACUCACUACCAUUCCCAUGAGCCACCUUCCAUCUUAAGCAGGCACAGGAGGACCAGCGUCAGCCCUUCAGCUGCUUCUCCACCCUGCAACAAGGAGAAUAAAACAGGACCACUGGGAACAUUAGCACAUCCCCUGGUGGAAAAAAAAAAACCAACAAAAAACUAAUGCUUAAGGCACGGAUCUCCACCUCAGAAGCCUCUUGCAACCAACAGCACUACAUCCUCACUAUCAUGACUGAAUGGCUGUGAAGGCUGAAUAUCACCUCCCAGAUCAAAAAGUCCCCCUCCUCACCAUCCCUGGAGGGUAAAUAUCUGCAGCAAAUCCAGGAGGUCCUAAAAUCCCAUGGAAAGAUGGAGUCCAUGACUUUACAGCAGCCCAUCUGGAGGUCUGCCCGUUGGUCAGGACUCAAGACACCCCUUCUCUACUUCUGCAACAGUCCUGCUUUUACAUCAUAAAUGUUAGACAACACAAUUCUACUGCAUGGCUUGUUUUCUUCAAAUGUAAUAAUUUACUCAAAAGCCACAAAGAAAUAAAUUUCCCCAAAGAUACUUAUUUAAAGCAUUUUCUACAG